This is a non-coding RNA of Larimichthys crocea (large yellow croaker), 442 nucleotides long. NCBI's taxonomy places the organism in Eukaryota, Metazoa, Chordata, Actinopteri, Sciaenidae. The record is from the annotation of a RefSeq genome assembly.
CUUGGGUGUUACCUAUAAGGAAGAGAAGUGUGUGUUUGUGUGUCGGUGAGAGGACAGAAGAGCUCACAUCAGUUCAACUUCAACAUCAACCAUGUUCUCUGUAGCUCUGAUACUGUUGCUGGCAGCUGGAUCUUGUGUGGACAGUCUUAAUCUCGUGCAGCCAGAGUCAGUGGUUGUGCAGCCUGGACAGUCUUUGACCAUCACCUGUCAGGUCUCUGGAUAUUCUUUGACUGAUGACAGCUAUGCAACAGGUUGGAUCAGACAGUGUGAAGGAAAACCAAUGGACUGGAUUUCCCAUCAGUGGGGUGGAGGUACCCUUCGUCAAAAUAGUGCUCUGAAGAACAAGUUCAGCUACAGCAGAGACACUUCUGCUGCAACAGUGACUCUAAAAGGACAGAAUGUGUAGCCUGAAGACACAGCUGUUUAUUACUGUGCACGUCGG